RNAcentral lists this long non-coding RNA (5020 nucleotides) under Brachypodium distachyon (stiff brome). RNAcentral describes it as "long non-coding RNA (BDIS_LNC000209)". The stretch from base 3584 to 3718 matches the Rfam family "MIR1120/MIR1122 microRNA precursor family". Lineage: Eukaryota; Viridiplantae; Streptophyta; Magnoliopsida; Poales; Poaceae. The record is from RNAcentral.
UACAGCUAGCUGCUAAUUCUCAUUUAGCUCCCGGGGGCGAAGUUGGUAGCAAAGGCCCAUGCAUUGUUGUUGACUGGGUCGGCGACGUGGUCGAAGAGGUUCUCGACGGGUCCCUUGCCCGUGACGAUGGCCUGCACGAAGAAUCCAAACAUGGAGAACAUGGCGAGGCGGCCGUUCUUGAGCUCCUUGACCUUGAGCUCAGCGGCGGUGUCUGGGUCGUCGGCGAGACCGAGGGGGUCAAAGGCGCCACCGGGGUAGAUCUUGUCGAGCCCCUCACCGAGAGGGCCUCCACCAACACGGUAACCCUCGAUGAAGCCCAUGAGCACAACUUGGCAUGCCCAAAUGGCGAGGAUGCUCUGCGCGUGCACGAGGUUAGGGUUGCCCAGGUAGUCCAGGCCGCCCUCGGAGAAGAUCUGCGAGCCGGCCUUGAACCACACCGCCUCGCCGAACUUGACACCAUUCUUGGAGAGGAUCUCCGGGAACACGCACCCGAGCGCGCCAAGCAUCGCCCAACGAGAGUGGAUCACCUCGAGCUCCCUGUUCUUGGCGAACGUCUCUGGGUCAGCUGACAACCCCGCGGUGUCCCAGCCGUAGUCACCGGGGAACUCGCCGGUCAGGUACGACGGCGUCUGCUCGGAGAACGGGCCCAGGUACUUGGGACGGUCAGGGCCGUACCUAUAUAUACACGCACGGUCAUUUCAUCACCAUUAAUUUCAUUCAGGCGAAGCCAAUUGCGCGGUACUUGAUGCAUGUAGUACAUAGAAAUGUAGCUUUGGACGAAGAAAAAGAUAUACUUACCAGAUGCUCUGGGGUGCGCUCUUGACAGUCCGGCGCAUGGUGAUGCGGCCGCCGAAGUCGCCGACGCUGCGGACGAGGUCAUCGCGGCGUGGGGCGGUGCCGAGGAAGCUGGUGGUCUGGUGCAGCGCCGACGCGGCCAUUUCGAUCCCAAUUCAAGUGGUAAGGUCAGUGAGAGAUGAGCUGGUGGCUGGUGUUGUUUGAGUGAGGAUGCCCGGCUCGGGGAGGUGGAUCUUUAUACGGCGCCUGAGAGGCGCGGGGCGAAGCUGGUGGACGCGCGGCGAGACACGUCCCCGCGACCCAAUUGGCUGCUGCUUCGCCUCUGGAUAUGGCGCGGUAUCCAUCCCCCUCCACGCGACCACUCGUCGGCCGCCACCUGGAGCCCAAGAUCGCAUCGCCCACAUCCUACACUAUCCCGACCAUAUAUGCACAUAUGUGCUCUGUUUCAUUUUAUCACGGUACAAUACUUGCCUAGAUCCGGUGAAACCGUGACAAAAUCAAACGACACCACCCACCAGUUUUCAUCUCACUGAUCGACCUGGUGAUGCGAGGUGAUUGAACCUCUCGCAGAUGUUCUUACCUUGCUCCGCUGGAUAAAGAUAUUACGGUUUUGUUAGUUCUAGGUUGUCAGAUUUUUAGUUAGAGAUAAGUUGAUUUUUCGGCCGUUGGAUAUGAUUUGUGCUUUAAAAUUUGCAAAGGAUGAUGAAAAAAAAAAGAUUUUUUACACUGGAUCAUACUGCUCCUCUUAUCCCAUCCGUCCGCUGUGCCUCGAGAUUCGUGCCCGACACCACAUAGUGAAAACUGCCUUCUGACUGCUGCUGAGUCCCACUCCUCAUUUUCCUUCUUCCCCAACCUCAAGCGCCUCUCUCUCUCUCUGCCCCUCUCUCUCUCUCCCCCCCAUGGUGCUGCUCCAUGUUAGGCGUCUCUCUCUCCUCUCCAUGGUGCUGCAUUGCCGCUCCAUGUUUUCACGCCUCUCUCUCCUCUCCAUGGUGAUGCUCUCUCUCUCUCUCUCUCCUAUCCAUGGCGCUGCACCAGUGGCUGCGGCGGCGACGGCACGGCCAUGUGUUGGAGGCGGCAGCAGGCGGUGCGCAUGUGGUGGCGAUAGCGGCCAACAUCGUGCCAUGUGCUUUUGGCGAGCCAGUUUUUUUCUUCGGCACACUAUAGAAGAGGCCAAGAGGGAGUGGUGUGCUCGAGACUCAAGAGUGACUGAAGCUUUCCCUGAAAAAAGAGAGCAAAGUGAGAUCUAAAUAUUAAUCUAAUGGCUCUGAUUCGUCAACUUAGAUCUAAGCCUUUUUUGCUUAAAUCAGGCAAAUUAGAUAUAGCAACGUCCGAUCUAAACCGUCUAAUUUCUUUUGAGUAUAAUGUGUGUUUUUGUUUGGCUUCAGUUUCAUUGUUCCAUGCGAUUUGGUUAAUUUUUUUAUACCAAAAAAGAGAGAUUUGGCUAAUUUUAACCUGAAGAUUGGUGGAUACUGAGCAUCUCCAAUGGGGUCUCCCAAAAGCUAUCCCAAAUGUCUCUUUGGGGGAUAUGGAUAUUUUGUUCUCAAAAUCAUUCCCGAAUGGCAUCCCCAAAACGGACAAAAUUUCCUCUUUGUCCGUCCCCAUCCUCAAAUUGGCCCCAAAUUUGGGGAGGUUUGGGGUGUCCGGAGACCGGACACACACUCACUUCUUAUCCGGCCCGAUCUCACAAAAAGCAGAGAUUCCAGUCCUUCUUCCUCUCCCUCUCUCUCUCUCUCUCUCUCUCCCCCCUCCGCACAUAGUGGAGCCGGAAGAAGUCAUGUGUUGCAUGCGAAUAAUGACAGAGGUCAUGUGCUGCAUGCGAAUUCAAAGACUAUGUGCUGAAGGAACCAGUCAUGCGCUGACACAUGGCAUCUUAUACCAUAUACCAAUAAAAUAUAUCAUAUAUCAUUUACUGACACCAUGUAUUGAACCACAUACAUUGACUGAUAUCAUAUAUCAUUGACUAAUACCAAGGAAAAUAUCAUUCACAUAGCAUAUACCAAUCCAUAUACCAUUGACCCAUAUCAUGUACCAUUGACUCGUAACAAAAUAUAAUACUAAGGUGGGUCGGCCCACCACCACGUGCCAGCUUGUGCCGGCACCACUACAUAGCGGUGCCGGUAGAAUCGCCGCUUUACGUCUACCUCCCUCUCCCUGCUUUCUCUGCUCCCUCUCUCGAUCUCUCUUCCUCUGACUUCUCCUCACCAUCUCUUCUCUCUGGGCGGCGCCGAAUCCGACCGGCGCUGUCUCGACCGCCGCCGCUCCGCCGCGGGUCCUUCCGCGAACGAACUGCUCUGCCUGGGCAAGCUCCACAAGGUCGCGCCACUGCAGAAAGCAUCCGCAGGCUGUGGAGAUUCGCCCGGACCUCGUCCUCCGACGGCAGUACCAAAGCGGCGCCGGCGUUCAGUCCAGGAGCACAUGCAGGGACGAACAGCAGGGUCAAGCUUCAUCCGCUAGCCAACGUAAUCAAAAGACCGGUCUGAUGGAAACUCUAGACAAUUCACUUAUACACUUCAACACCCCGCCCCCCUCACGUGUGACGGGAAGACAAGUCAACACGUGUAAACUCAGAGGUAUGGUGGUUCAAGAGGCCAAUACAUGAACAGAGGGGGUAACAACAAUUUUUAAUAUAAAUUGUGAAAGCCAGGACUUGCCGUUGGGUGACGAGGGCAGACACAGGGCGUACAUAUGUCUAUUUGCCCUCCAAACGGACAAAAUGAGGACAUUUGAGGGCAAAAUUUGGAGGACCCCAUUGGAGAUGCUCUAAGAUCUUGUGGUGUUGCAGUUAUAAAAACCACUCCCUCCGUCCAACAAAAGAUGUCUUAAGUUUGUCAAAAUUUGAAUGUAUAUAGACAUGACUUAGUGUAUAGAUGCAUUCAAAUUUAGUCAAAUUUGGACAUCCUUUGUUGGACGGAGAAAGUAUUUUUGUAAGGCGGUUAUAAGAACUACUAGUACUACACAACCGCGUUUUGCUUUUCUUUUUCCUAAAAUUGAACUAGUACCGAUCAGCCUAUAUAUGCAUCUUCACGUUCUAUUAAUAUCUACACUGAUAACUUAUUGAGUGAAAGAAAAGGUUUUAGGAAUAAUAUAUGUAUAUGAAAAUUUAGAAUCACGUAUGAGUUGGACACAGUAACAGAAACUUGUAGUAUAGAAGUACUCUAUUUCCCUACUACCUUAGACAAUAUAAAUAUUGAGACCAUGUUACUCCCUAUUUAAUAUUCAGAUUUCUUUUUGUUUUGUUCUUGUUGCUGAAUGCAGUUCAAUGUAUUGCUCUAAUUUGAGUUGUCCCUAUAAUUAUUUUUACAAGUUUUGAAAAAAAGGUAGUGUAUGUUAAUUAAGAACCAAGAUUCAUACAAUCAUUCAUAACCACGCAGGACAGCACGGAAUUACUCAACACACCUCCAGUGCACACCUUACUGCAGUAGCUAGCUAGCUCAUGAGCCACAUAAUUGUUCUCUCUUUUAGUAAAAACGAAGCGAAUGCCAGGAUCAAAAGUAGUGACCUGUGGAAUGUCAACCACCAUUGAGCAUCUUGAAGACCGAUUAUCCGCCAAGGAGUAAAGAGCCUGAAUGAAGGAGACGCAAUCGCUUUCAACAAUCAAAGGUGCCGAGGAGUGUUGCCUGGCUAUCUUGAGGCCCUGAAGACAAGCCACACCCUCAGCCAUCUCUGCAUUAGGACAACGAGCAAUGGCGUCCCAAGCUGACAGAAUUACGGUGCCAUGUUCAUUGUCAAUCUUCAUGCGCUAGCCAACGCAACCAAACGAUCGAUCUGAUGAAAAUAAGCAAUCCACUUAUACGCUUCAACACCCCGCCUCACGUGUGACGGGGAAGAUAAGUUAACACAUGUAAACUCAGAAGUAUGGUGGCUCAAGAGGUCAACAUAUGGACGGAGAGGUAACAUCAAUUUUUAAUAUAAAUUGUGAAAGCCAUGACUUUAACAUGAGACAUUUGGCUUUGAUACCAUGUCAAACUUCAUGCGCUAGCCAAUGCAACCAAAAGAUCGAUCUGAUGGGAAGGGCUAGGCAAUCCACUUAUACACUUCAACAUUGAUCAAGGAGAACCGCACCCCAAGUAACAAUGUUCACGCCCGACGAAAAGCUAGCAUUCACGUUGAGUUUGAGCCAUCCCGUGUCUGGUGGUCUCCAGGCCGAAGGUGGACAAGGCUGGACAGUUGCAUGUUCCUCUGCUCGGGUUGUACUACACGAUUUUCCUUCAAGAUCAGGUUCCAG